RNAcentral lists this long non-coding RNA (541 nucleotides) under Homo sapiens (human). RNAcentral's name for it is "non-protein coding lnc-ZBTB8OS-3:7". The record is from RNAcentral. Lineage: Eukaryota; Metazoa; Chordata; Mammalia; Primates; Hominidae.
GGGGAGAUACUCUGGAGGAAGCAUUUGAGCAAUGUGCAAUGGCCAUGUUUGGUUACAUGACAGAUACUGGGACAGUGGAGCCCCUCCAAACAGUAGAAGUAGAAACCCAAGGAGAUGACUUACAGUCUCUUCUGUUUCACUUUUUGGAUGAAUGGCUUUAUAAGUUCAGUGCUGAUGAAUUCUUCAUACCCCGGAAGUUGUGUGCUAUUGUUUUCUAGAAAAGGUUGUAAAGGCCAGGCGCGGUGGCUUACGCCUGUAAUCCCAGCACUUUGGGAAGCCGAGGCAGGUGGAUCACCUGAGGUCAGGAGUUCGAGACCAGUCUGACCAAUAAGGAAGUGAAAGUACUUAGCAUUGAUCAAAGAAAUUUCAAAUUACGAUCAAUUGGGUGGGGAGAAGAAUUUUCAUUGUCCAAGCACCCUCAGGGAACAGAAGUCAAAGCAAUAACAUAUUCAGCAAUGCAGGUCUAUAAUGAAGAGAACCCGGAAGUUUUUGUGAUCAUUGACAUUUAAGACACCAAAAAAUAAAAGACUCCUACGAAGAA